Non-coding RNA from Xyrichtys novacula (pearly razorfish), 7942 nucleotides. The record is from the annotation of a GenBank genome assembly. NCBI's taxonomy places the organism in Eukaryota, Metazoa, Chordata, Actinopteri, Labriformes, Labridae.
CGCGUAUCUGUAUAAUGUACGGUUAAAGGGCUAUUUUGUAUUUUUUGCCGAUUCGCACACAUUGGAAUGUGGCUAUCUCCUCCUAAGGCUUUCGUCCCACCGAUACCACAUUUGCUCAGGGCAAUCUACACCCCAUGCCCAUUCAAAGUUGUAAAAAUCAUGACGCUGCACCCCACGGUUUACGUUCUAGGGGGCGCCAAAAAUGACCCAAAAAUCCACAUUCUUAAAAGUCAUUUUGGCCACUGCAGGAGUACAGAGUACUGCAGUUCUAGGGGGCGCCAAAGAUGACCCAAAAAUCCACAUUCUAAAAAGUCUUUUUGGCCACUGCAGGAGUACAGAGUACUGCUGGAUACACACACAUAUACACACACGCAAACAUACACACACACACACACACACACACACACACAGACACACACACACACUCAGAGUCUGUUUUUUAGCACCUGCAAAAACAUGCUGUUUACAUAUUUGACAAGAAUGCAGAGGCUUCCUUUUGCCCCUGAAAAAAAUCAAAUUUCAAACACAACUUGACUGUUCAUUUCUCCAAAAGACAACCAUGAAGCUCCAUUUCAAACCUGAAGCAGAUAGUUGGUGCAUGUGUACAGUAACCUGAGGGGAGUGAGGUGACUAUUUCUGAGGAGAACAUGAGCAGUGAAGAUUCACCUUGGAGCUAGAACAGGGACGUGCACAUGAUUAUACAGGGGCAGGGGCUCAAGUUUUUUCCAGUCAUUUAUACAAUAUGGAAAUUAAUGUGAAAUUAAACCACAAAUAUGUGUGAUGAACUGUUUUUAAAACUUAAACUUCAAAUAAAAAUUGUAAACUUCAAAACAUAUGCAAAUUUUUAACAAAGAACAUAGUAAUUUACCUCUAUUUACAUCAAAAUGCAGGCAAUGGCCCAGGCGUUCUUUGUAAAAUUAUUUACAAAACACUGUAUAGUCUCACAAAUGUCACUUUUUAUUUAUGCCACUACAAAAAAACAUGAUGUAAAUGAUGCAUGAUGUAAAACAUGAUGUAAAAAACUUGUGUAGAUCCUCCUCUAUGUCAGUCCAUGUGUAAUUUUUCCAUAAUUCUUUGUUUUUUGCAGCAUUUUUGUUAGUGUAACUGCAGAUUGUGCUGACAGUGUCUAUGGCACAAAAAAAAAAAAAAAUUAAAAUGCCUCAACAUGAACCCCUGGUGGUCUCUGAGGGUGAAACCUGCUAACUGCUGCAGCUCUGUCAGCUUCAGUCUCCCAUGCAGAGCUCUGAGCGCAUGUGUGGCUCUGCACCCUUAGCCGCGUUGCUAACUCCUCAGUAAGGAAAGCCUGCUUCAUGUCAGAGUCUCUAAACUCCAGAAGAAGUCGAUAAAAGUCCCUUUCUUUCUAAAAAAAAGUCGUUAGGGUGUCUGAAAAGUCAUUGAAUCUAACAACAAAGUCGCUAGGUUUGCAACUACGUGUCCCAGACUGCAUCCCUGCUGAGAGUCCCUCCCUCCCUUCUCAUAUUGCAGGAAGAACGUAAGCGCCCGCCCCUUGUCAAUCAGUCACCAUAUAAUUUUGGAUUGGUUGUUGUGGUGAAGUUUUCCACCAAUAGGAGAGAUGUUGUGGUGUGUUUUUUUUUUCUUUUGGCAAGCCUUUUCCGCCUGUAAGACCUGUCGCUAAUGUCUGCAUGCUAUGUUUUCCUGUCUCAUACAGCGCGAUCGAGCGCCGAACGUGAUCAAAAUAAGCAGAAAAAAAGUAUCGCGGACAUAAUUUAUCAUAACUCUGGUUUUAUUUGGCCUAUCAACACAAUUUAAAAACUGGUAUAUAGGUUGAGGUCCUCACUUUUGAGAUAAGUUGAAACGGAGAGUCAACGAGGCUCCGUCUUGCAGCUACAUCCGGUUAAAUAUGUCAUGUGAUUUGAACGCACACAUAGACACACACACACACACACACACACACACACACACACACACACACACACUCAGAGUCUGGUUUUUAGCACCUGCAAAAACAUGCUAUUUACAUAUUUGACAAGAAUGCAGAGGCUCCUUUUGCCCCUGAAAAAAAUCUAAUUUCAAACACAACUUGACUGGUCAUUUCUCCAAAAGACAACCAUGAAGCUCCAUCCAAACCUGAAGCAGGCAGUUGGUGCAUGUGUACAGUAACCUGAGGGGAGUGAGGUGAGUGCUUCUGAGGAGAACAUGAGCAGUGAAGAUUCACCUUGGAGCUAGAACAGAGACAUGCACAUGAUUAUACAGGGGCAGGGGCUCAAGUUUUUUCCAGUCGUUUAUACAAUAUGGAAAUUAAUGUGAAAUUAAAACACAAAGUAUUAAUAGAAAGGUAAUGACUGUCCUGUGUAGGUGACAGUGAUAUCCAAUAGGCUAGGCACUCACGAGGCUGGCUGUGGCAAGUGUAAGUGAAAGCAACACGCACUGGCAGGAAGAACAGCAAACACCGAUGAAGGAAAAGGGUCUUUGCAGUGAUGGGCGUUAACAGAGAGGGCGAUGGCCAGAGGACACAAAUGGGACGGGGAGGCAGCACGUUGGGGGGGGGGGGGGGGGAGACGCGACACGGCUCGGGCCCGCCAGUGCCCCAACGGGGUCCUAGUUUCUUUUUCCUCCCCUUUGAACUGGAAAAUGGCCCACUUCCCACUGGCGAAAACUCAUGAAAUUUGGCAGGACGACCGGGCCUGGUGAAAAAUUUGAUAUUCCGAAGUCGCCCAAACAAGAAAAUGCAAAAUGGCUCCAUAGCGCCCCCUAAGGUGAAAAUUCACACUAUUGAGUGUCACGCCUGUACGCUUUGUCAAAAUGACACAAAAUUUGACACACACAUGUAUCUCAAUAAGAUCUACAAAAAAGUCAGUGCGGGCGUAUCUGUCAAAUGUACGGUUAAAGGGUUAUUUCGCAUUUUUUGCCGAUCCGCACACAUUGGAAUUUCGCUAACUCCUUUGAAGGCUUUCGUUCCACCGGCACCACAUUUGCUCAGGCCAAUCUACACCCCAUGGCCAUUAAAAGUUAUUCAAAUCAUGACGCUGCACCCCACGGUUUAGGUUCUAGGGGGCGCCAAAGAUAACCCUAAAAUCCACAUAUUUAAAAGUCUUAUAACUUUUUAUUUUUGCCCUCACUGGCCUCCAAGUUUUCUAGGAUGAUGCAAUGUCCAGCCAUCAACACAUUUGUGAAGGAAUUUUUACUCCCCAAAAGAGCGCCCCCCCAUGGCAGGAGAAAAAAGUCCAUUUUUUCUUGUCCCCUAAGGUGAAAAUACACAUUGUUGAGUGUCACGCCUGUACGCUUUGUCAAAAUGACACAAAAAUUGACACACACAUGUAUCUCAAUAAGAUCUACAAAAAAGUCCAUGCGCGCGUAUCUGUCAAAUGUACGGUUAAAGGGUUAUUCCGCAUUUUUUGCCGAUUCGCACACAUUGGAAUUUCGCUAACUCCUCCGAAGGCUUUCGUUCCACCGGCACCACAUUUGCUCAGGCCAAUCUACACCCCAUGGCCAUUAAAAGUUAUUCAAAUCAUGACGCUGCACCCCACGGUUUACGUUCUAGGGGGCGCCAAAGAUAACCCAAAAAUCCACAUUUUUAAAAGUCUUAUAACUUUUUAUUUUUGCCCUCACUGGCCUCCAAGUUUUCUAGGAUGAUGCAAUGUCCAGCCAUCAACACAUUUGUGAAGGAAUUUUUACUCCCUAAAAGAGCGCCCCCCCAUGGCAGGAGAAAAAAGUCCAUUUUUUCUUGUCCCCUAAGGUGAAAAUACACAUUGUUGACUGUCACGCCUGUAUGCUUUGGCAAAAUGACACAAAAAUUGACAAUCAUGUGUAUCUCAAUUAGAUCUACGAAAAAGUCAAAGAGCGCGUAUCUGUAUAAUGUACGGUAAAAGGGCUAUUUUGCAUUUUUUGCCGAUUCGCACACAUUGGAAUUUCGCUAACUCCUCCUAAGGCUUUCGUCCCACUGACACCAAAUUUGCUCAGGCCAAUCUACACUCCAUGGCCAUUCAAAGUUGUAAAAAUCAUGACGCUGCACCCCACGGUUUACGUUUUAGGGGGCGCCAAAGAUGACCCAAAUAUACAUUACAGUAGACAAAGUAGUUUUGCCCACUGAGUGGCGCCAAAGGGACUUGUCUGUGGAGUCUGUGAGUCACUAUUGGCCGUUUUUGACUACUUUAGAUUUUACCUUUAUAUUUCCUCUUACAAAAUUUUUACCUUGCCUUGCCUGGUAUCAUUUUUUUCAGCACAACCUCACCUGUGUCAAUUUACAGUUAUUUUAUCAUUUUGACAUACUAUAUUUACACAUUGGACCCAAAUUCACACACAAAACAUAAAAUCCGAGUGGAAAAAAGUAACGUUUUUACUGUGAAAACCACAAAUAUGUGUGAUGAACUGUUUUUAAAACUUAAACUUCAAAUAAAAAUUGUAAACUUCAAAACAUAUGCAAAUUUUUAACAAAGAACAUAGUAAUUUACCUCUAUUUACAUCAAAAUGCAGGCAAUGGCCCAGGUGUUCUUUGUAAAAUUAUUUACAAAACACUGUAUAGUCUCACAAAUGUCACUUUUUAUUUAUGCCACUACAAAAAAACAUGAUGUAAAUGAUGCAUGAUGUAAAACAUGAUGUAAAAAACUUGUGUAGAUCCUCCUUUAUGUUAGUCCAUGUGUAAUUUUUCCAUAAUUCUUUGUUUUUUGCAGCAUUUUUGUUAGUGUAACUGCAGAUUGUGCUGACAGUGUCUAUGGCAAAAAAAAAAAAAAAACUGAAAAUGCCUCAACAUGAACCCCUGGUGGUCUCUGAGGGUGAAACCUGCUAACUGCUGCAGCUCUGUCAGCUUCAGUCUCCCAUGCAGAGCUCGGAGCGCAUGUGUGGCUCUGCACCCUUAGCAGCGUUGCUAACUCCUCAGUAAGGAAAGCCUGCUUCAUGUCAGAGUCUCUAAACUCCAGAAGAAGUCGAUAAAAGUCACUUUCUUUCUAAAAAAAAAGUCGUUAGGGGGUCUGAAAAGUCAUUGAAUCUAACAACAAAGUCGCUAGGUUUGCAACUACGUGUCCCAGACUGCAUCCCUGCUGAGAGUCCCUCCCUCCCUUCUCAUAUUGCAGGAAGAACGUAAGCGCCCGCCCCUUGUCAAUCAGUCACCAUAUAAUUUUGGAUUGGUUGUUGUGGUGAAGUUUUCCACCAAUAGGAGAGAUGUUGUGGUGUGUUUUUUUUUUCCUUUGGCAAGCCUUUUCCGCCUGUAAGACCUGUCGCUAAUGUCUGCAUGCUAUGUUUUCCUGUCUCAUACAGCGCGAUCGAGCGCCGAACGUGAUCAAAAUAAGCAGAAAACAAGUAUCGCGGACAUAAUUUAUCAUAACUCUGGUUUUAUUUGGCCUAUCAACACAAUUUAAAAACUGGUAUAUAGGUUGAGGUCCUCACUUUUGAGAUAAGUUGAAACGGAGUCAACGAGGCUCCGUCUUGCAGCUACAUCCGGUUAAAUAUGUCAUGUGACUUGAACGCACACACACACACACACACACACACACACACACACACAGACACACACACACACGCACACACACACACUCAGAGUCUGGUUUUUAGCACCUGCAAAAACAUGCUAUUUACAUAUUUGACAAGAAUGCAGAGGCUCCUUUUGCCCCUGAAAAAAAUCAAAUUUCAAACACAACUUGACUGGUCAUUUCUCCAAAAGACAACCAUGAAGCUCCAUCCAAACCUGAAGCAGGCAGUUGGUGCAUGUGUACAGUAACCUGAGGGGAGUGAGGUGACUGCUUCUGAGGAGAACAUGAGCAGUGAAGAUUCACCUUAGAGCUAGAACAGAGACGUGCACAUGAUUAUACAGGGGCAGGGGCUCAAGUUUUUUCCAGUUGUUUAUACAAUAUGGAAAUUAAUGUGAAAUUAAAAAACAAAGUAUUAAUAGAAAGGUAAUGACUGUCCUGAGUAGGUGACAGUGAUAUCCAAUAGGCUAGGCACUCAAGAGGCUGGCUGUGGCAAGUGUAAGUGAAAGCAACACGCACUGGCAGGAAGAACAGCAAACGCCGAUGAAGGAAAAGGGUCUUUGCAGUGAUGGGCGUUACCAGAGAGGGCGAUGGCCAGAGGACACAAAUGGGACGGGGAGGCAGCGCGUUGGGGGGGGGACGCGACACAGCUCGGGCCCGCCAGUGCCCCACCGGGGUCCUAGUUAUGUCCUUGUACCUCUCAGACAUAUGUCAAACUCAUGUCCCAGCUUUAUUUCCCACAAUGCACAAUACUUUUGUUUACUUCCUGUAGUUGGUAAAUUGGUCAUCGAAAAAGUCCAGUUGCAUCAGGGCUGCGUUUACACCCACCCCGGACAGGACCAUGGUAAGUUUGGAAGGGGACUGAGUUCAGCAUUUUCAAGAGGACCAUGGUCUGUUUGAUCCGGACCACGAUUUGCUUGCACAUUCGUACUACCCGGAGCAAAGGAGUAAGGGGACCAUAGUCCUUUUAAAACGAACCAAACAGUCCUGGUGUGAAUGCACCCUGAUUCUCCUGACAGCUGGUUUUGAGACAUGGCAACAACCUGAAGUCAGAUCUUGCUGUCCUACCAGUACAUUACUAAAGGAAAAGCCUACCCAAACACUGGUCUUCAGCUAGUGUUCUUCUCCUCUCUGCUCUUUGCUGGUUCAGUCUGGCUCUUACAGUGUCUCAAGUCUUCUUUUUCUUGUGACGAAAAGUCUCAGCUAUUUUCUCUUCCCAAAGACCAAGGCUCCAGAAAACAGUUUGGAGGUUUUUAGACAACAACAGCCACAUCUUAGCUGUUUGUGCUCAACACUUCACUGAGGACUCCUCUGUAAAUAAAAGGCUGGUACAAGCUGGAUUUGAGUCACAGCUGUUACUGAAAUCUGGAGCUGUUCAUCUUUAGAGAUGAAUGCAACAUGAAAUGUACUAUAAUGUAACUAAACUGAGACCUAAGUGGAUGCAUAUUGCUAACCUCAGUCAUUUUCUGUAAAAGCAUAACUUUGGGUGGUUUCAGGACCACAAAACCGUGUCCAACUUUCUGUCAGCAUAAAAGCAGCUGAACAAAGCUUUUAUAGGCAGAGGCUGGACCGAGCUGAAACUGGGGUUUUUACAGACACCAGUAUAAAAUAAAUAAGGAUUUUUUUAAGCUGCAAGUCAGGCAAAGCCGCUCUACAGCUGUCCAAGACUGACAGAAUAGACUGUAAAAAUAAGUUUAAUUUGAGUUGGUCGCAUUUCUUCUUGAAUCAUUUUUUCUCAACUUUUGAUACCAGUGGAUCAAAUUUGAAUCUGACUGAUCAGGUCUAAACUGGACCCCACUUUGAGGCCAGUGGAUGGGAUCCUCACCUCAGGCAGCUGCUACAGUCUCUUUUAACUGUUCACAGUUUAAAUCUGACUAAGAUUCUGUCAUCCCUCUGCCAGUGGAUGGCAUUUCUUUUUUUUUUUUUUACAACUCUUAGUCCUGCUGUUUCUAAAGGCUGUUUUUUUCUGGAAUAGCUGCACUUCUCCACAGUUUUCCACCUGCCAGUCUGAACUCCAACUCAUAAAGCAACAUCACACUCUUAGGAAACAAAGAAGCGUGCUAAUCUGUUCAGCUCUCAGUGUUUGAGGACAUGGACAUUUUGCUGAGGCAGCUUUUUCUCAGAUUACGACGUGUCCCUGCUGUGUGUGACAGUGAGUCACUCCUGUUACUCUGGCAGCUCUUACUUUUUUUGGCAAACUGGAGCUCUUACACUUCAGUUUCAGUGUCACAUGCCAAUUCUGAGUAUGUGCUCCUCUGACUGCCGCUCAGACACUGUCACUCAUGACAGCUGUAUGAUACACAAAUAUUAUAAUGCUGGCAUACAACAAAUUUCUCCUGACAGAUGUCACUGUAUGCCCACACUGCUGCCACACUGAUCCAGAUGUGACUCCUCAAAACAACUAGCUGGUGCAAGCUCUGCUCACCUGAUGAGCAUCUCAGGACACACUCAGAGAGAGUGCACACACUGAGCAGUUUGAACAAAAACAAGUCCAGUACUUAAUGGCAGAGAUCAGCACC